CAAACAUCACACCCGUCUCAAAAUACAAAGGUUGAAGUACAAGAUUAAGUAUUCUACAAGUAACUGGAGUAAAAGUAUUGCCAUGAGAAAAUUGUCAAACUUAAAGAUUAACCAUGAAAAUCUAAAGCAUCAAGUGCAAGCAAAUGGGUGGCAAGUAUGACUU
Long non-coding RNA from Pyrus x bretschneideri (Chinese white pear), 163 nucleotides. RefSeq lists it as uncharacterized. The record is from RefSeq and is a predicted model, not a curated record. The transcript is spliced from 3 exons. Lineage: Eukaryota; Viridiplantae; Streptophyta; Magnoliopsida; Rosales; Rosaceae.